RNAcentral lists this ribosomal RNA (484 nucleotides) under uncultured bacterium. RNAcentral describes it as "partial 16S ribosomal RNA". It matches the Rfam family "Bacterial small subunit ribosomal RNA", at positions 30 to 507 of the family's 1533-position model. The record is from RNAcentral.
AUUGAACGCUGGCGGCAGGCCUAACACAUGCAAGUCGAGCGGAUGAAGGGAGCUUGCGUCUGGAUUCAGAGGCGGACGGGUGAGUAAUACCUAGGAAUCUGCCUGGUAGUGGGUGAUAACGUCCGGAAACGGGCGCUACUACCGCAUACGUCGUGCGGGGGAUGGUGGGGGAUCUUCGGACAUCACGCUCUCAGAUGAGCGUAGGCCGGAUUAGCUAGUUGGUGGGUUAAAGGCCUACUAAGCCGGCGAUUCGUUACUGGUCUGAUAGGAUGAUCAGUCACACUGGAGCUGAGACACGGUCCUUGCUACUACGAGAGGCAGCAGAGGCGUAUGUUGGGCAGUAGGCGAGAGUCUUGUACAGUCAUGCCGAGUGUGUUGAAGAAAUCUUCGGAUUGUAAAGCACUUUUAGUGGUUAGAAAGGGCAUUCAGUUAUUACCUUGCUGUUUUGACGUUACCAGCAGAAUAAGCACCGGCUAACUUCGUG